RNAcentral lists this ribosomal RNA (425 nucleotides) under uncultured bacterium. Its description in RNAcentral is "partial 16S ribosomal RNA". It matches the Rfam family "Bacterial small subunit ribosomal RNA", at positions 354 to 796 of the family's 1533-position model. The record is from RNAcentral.
GUGGGGAAUAUUGGGCAAUGGGCGAAAGCCUGACCCAGCAACGCCGCGUGAAGGAAGAAGGUUUUCGGAUCGUAAACUUCUAUCCUUGGUGAAAAUAAUGACGGUAGCCAAGAAGGAAGCCCCGGCUAACUACGUGCCAGCAGCCGCGGUAAUACGUAGGGGGCAAGCGUUGUCCGGAAUGAUUGGGCGUAAAGGGCGCGUAGGCGGCCUGGUAAGUCUGGAGUGAAAGUCCUGCUUUUAAGGUGGGAAUUGCUUUGGAUACUGUCGGGCUUGAGUGCAGGAGAGGUAAGCGGAAUUCCCGGUGUAGCGGUGAAAUGCGUAGAGAUCGGGAGGAACACCAGUGGCGAAGGCGGCUUACUGGACUGUAACUGACGCUGAGGCGCGAAAGUGUGGGGAGCAAACAGGAUUAGAAACCCCAGUAGUCC